GAAACUCUAGAGAGCAUGAGACCUGGUUCAUGCACCGUCGGGGCAACCGCCGCCAAGCGGCGGGAAUCUCUCAGGUAAAAGGACAGAGACAC
This 92-nucleotide non-coding RNA is filed under the name uncultured Dysosmobacter sp. Its description in RNAcentral is "Glycine riboswitch". It matches the Rfam family "Glycine riboswitch aptamer", at positions 9 to 86 of the family's 94-position model. From Rfam's summary of the family: This family represents the bacterial glycine riboswitch. Lineage: Bacteria; Bacillati; Bacillota; Clostridia; Eubacteriales; Oscillospiraceae. The record is from RNAcentral.